CCUACGGGUGGCAGCAGUGGGGAAUAUUGCACAAUGGGGGAAUCCCUGAUGCAGCGACGCCGCGUGAGUGAAGCAGUAUUUCGGUAUGUAAAGCUCUAUCAGCAGGGAAGAAGCAAGACGGUACCUGACUAAGAAGCCCCGGCUAACUACGUGCCAGCAGCCGCGGUAAUACGGAGGGGGCAAGCGUUAUCCGGAUGUACUGGGUGUAAAGGGAGCGUAGACGGUAUGGCAAGUCUGAAGUGAAAGGCCAGGGCUUAACCCUGGGGCUGCUUUGGAAACCGUUAGACUAGAGUGCUGGAGAGGUAAGUGGAAUUCCUAGUGUAGCGGUGAAAUGCGUAGAUAGUAGGAGGAACACCAGUGGCGAAGGCGGCUUACUGGACAGUAACUGACGUUGAGGCUCGAAAGCGUGGAGAGCAAACAGGAUUAGAUACCCCAGUAGUC
This 441-nucleotide ribosomal RNA is filed under the name uncultured bacterium. Its description in RNAcentral is "partial 16S ribosomal RNA". It matches the Rfam family "Bacterial small subunit ribosomal RNA", at positions 338 to 795 of the family's 1533-position model. The record is from RNAcentral.